UCAUCUUCCUAGCUUUUCUUCCAUUGCAACUUCCUUCCAUAUUAUGGGAGCCUUCUGAGUUGUGAUUCAUUCUUCUAAGCUAACAUCCAUCUCCCUUCACCAUAGUUUCACUACUUCCGCUGCCUACCAUCCUAAAACUUCCAACAACUUUACAUUGAUGAGCAUCCAGAUCUGGCUUGCUUCUGCCGAGCACUGUUCCAUUGAAGUGCUUCAACCGUUCUGCCUCAUU
RNAcentral lists this long non-coding RNA (229 nucleotides) under Vigna radiata. RNAcentral describes it as "long non-coding RNA (VRAD_LNC000695)". Lineage: Eukaryota; Viridiplantae; Streptophyta; Magnoliopsida; Fabales; Fabaceae. The record is from RNAcentral.